CACGUAGGGGGCAAGCGUUGUCCGGAUUUAUUGGGCGUAAAGAGCGCGCAGGCGGUCGUUCAAGUCGCGUGUGAAAGCCCCCGGCUCAACUAGGGAGGGUCACGCGAUACUGAUCGACUCGAAGGCAGGAGAGGGUAGUGGAAUUCCCGGUGUAGUGGUGAAAUGCGUAGAUAUCGGGAGGAACACCAGUGGCGAAGGCGACUACCUGGCCUGUUCUUGACGCUGAGGCGCGAAAGCUAGGGGAGCAAACGGG
RNAcentral lists this ribosomal RNA (253 nucleotides) under uncultured bacterium. Its description in RNAcentral is "partial 16S ribosomal RNA". It matches the Rfam family "Bacterial small subunit ribosomal RNA", at positions 524 to 776 of the family's 1533-position model. The record is from RNAcentral.